AUGUGUGUCUCAGCAAGACUUCCACAGAGAAGCCUCAACAUGUGUGCAAGCUUUACAGAGGUAGCAAAUCCUCUGAGGGAUGGAGUCAACUGUAAAAUGACAGAAAUGACAGUGGUCAGUGAAAGAAAUCUGGGACUUCUACACUUCAGGCAUUCAGUAAGGAAGAUGAAACAAACAGCACAGGGUGAAGUCUCAGUGAGAAGACCUUCCUGUGCCACAGAGAAGGACAGGACAUUGACAGCUUUGAGUUCUCAUGAAUUUUCAGCAGUGAGUCCAUCUGGGAAUAAUUUGUUUGUGAGAAGAAGGCUUCCAUUCUAUCAAGAAAAAAGGCUGCACGGAAUUCACAAAACACUAGAGCAGAAAGUACCAGUCAUUGUUUGA
This 381-nucleotide long non-coding RNA is filed under the name Apteryx owenii (little spotted kiwi). RNAcentral's name for it is "lncRNA (ENSAOWG00000017554.1)". The record is from RNAcentral. Lineage: Eukaryota; Metazoa; Chordata; Aves; Apterygiformes; Apterygidae.